Heterocephalus glaber (naked mole-rat) is the source of this 1846-nucleotide non-coding RNA. NCBI's taxonomy places the organism in Eukaryota, Metazoa, Chordata, Mammalia, Rodentia, Bathyergidae. The record is from RefSeq and is a predicted model, not a curated record.
UUUCCCAGACUCGGGGAUGAGGAAAGCACACCCCACUAUGGGUUGCAACUUUUAUUUACAGCAUUUGACAAUCAUUAAACCCUUUGACCCCUGGUAACAGCCAAUAUGAAGUGGAUUCUAUUAAAGGCGGGGAAACUGAGGCAGAGAAAGCUUCUGUCGCCGGCUUUCUGACACACAGAGGGAAUGGAAGUAUUUGGAGGCACUGGUUGGGAAGUAAACUACAGCACAUUGGAUCUCUUUUUCGUGUACUUUUCGAAGAGAACACACCACUGUGAAGAUACCACGUGUUCUCUUCAUAAUUUGGCAGAUUCGGCUUAAAAGUUCUGCAAGCAGAUAAGCAACUCUGACUGUGGCCACAGCUUCGUUUCCUGGUUCAUUUCCAAGACUACAGCUUGCUUAUCUUCCAGACUCAAUGCAAGGCGACGGGUGGGCUUGUCAUCAACAAACACUCAAAUAAAAGUUAGUCUUGCAUCAUGAAUAUUGGCCACCACUGUGGACAGCCUGUUCUGAAGCCCUUCCACUGAAUUUUGAGCAAUAAUGGAAUUAAGGAUAUGAAGUCUCUAAGUGUGAUCUCUUCCAACAGGAUUAUACCUAUGGAAAUGUAUUCACUGUAAGGUACCGUUCGACUAGUGAUGGCUGGCUCUGUCACAUCAACGCACUGGGGACACCAAGCUCCCGACACAUGAAACUCGGGGACACACUGAAACUGUCUCCAUAACAGCCAACCAAGGAGGCAGGGAGCCAGGAGAGCUUGAAGUCCUCACUGCCAAGGACAAUGCAGACUAAGAAGUGUCCAGGGGACUCACAGAAUGGCUCAGGGGUCCAUUCUCUGACCACCCCGCCCAUCGACAAUGGCUAAACAUGCCUGAAAACCAGGUACGUGCAGCUGUGCAGAUCUAUGGACACUAGAGGGAACGAGAGGUCAGCCUAAGCAUGUCCCAUGACCACCAUCAACUCUGCCCAGGCAGCUCAGCCGGCAAUGUUCUGCAGGUAACAGACCAAUCAUACAUCUGCCAAUCCUCCAGACAAUGCCAGGAGGGACAAUUACCAUUGCCACUCUGGGGACAAGGAAAUAAGCUUCGGUUGUGUUGGCACAGGAACCCAGAAUUCGAGAAUUUGUACUCAUUGUCAGUGUUCUUAUAAUUAUAGGGGGUGCUACCCAAACUAAGGCACACACUCCUUAUCUGUCUCUCAUCAAUCUGGGAGGGGACAAGGAAAGGAAAUCUGGUUGCAUUAAGCCAGGAUGUCCCCAGGGUCCCAGAAAAAGGCUUGGUGAUUCAGGUCCUUGGGCAGCCUGUUUGAGGAGUUUCCAAACCUUCCCUGGGGAAGAACAAGUAACCAUUUCCAGAAGGUUCCAGAAGACUCCACAAGCCAAUAUUUCUUUUUCUCCACUCUAAAUGCUACAAGAUCCCCCAUGAGCCCUGCUUCCCAAUGCCAGUGAGCCCUGUCUCCCAGUGCUAAGAGCCACACCCCUGGUGUCAAUGAGGCACACCUUCCUGUGCCAGGGAUCCUCCCUUCCCAAUACCAAAAGUUUACUUCUCCCCCGAGUCUUUAUAUUUACAUGUGUUUUUUAUAAAUAACGUAUGGCUGAGCCUUGAUUUUUGAUCCAGUCUGGUAAUCUCUACUCGAAUCCAUACAUUCACUUGGUCUGUGAGAAACUUGGUAGUCCAACCCAGCCUCUGGCAUCACUGUCAUUAAAAGACUCUGAUCUGUGGUGGGGGGUGGGGCAGCCAUUAUUUCAGGUAGUUUAGGGUCACCUUUAGGUCCACUCCUGCGGGGCUCUGGAACCCAAAUGCCACAGGAAUGUGUAAGGGUGCUGUGUUCUCACUGCUUACUAGCGUCUCUC